GCCCAGGUGGCGGAAUUGGUAGACGCGCUAGAUUCAGGUUUUAGUGAGCGAAAGUUCGUGGAAGUUCGAGUCUUCUCCUGGGCACCA
RNAcentral lists this transfer RNA (87 nucleotides) under Alphaproteobacteria bacterium. RNAcentral describes it as "tRNA-Leu". It matches the Rfam family "tRNA". From Rfam's summary of the family: Transfer RNA (tRNA) molecules are approximately 80 nucleotides in length. Lineage: Bacteria; Pseudomonadati; Pseudomonadota; Alphaproteobacteria. The record is from RNAcentral.